AACCGCUGUAUACGGGACCGUACGUACGGUGGUGUGAGAGGACGAUAGAUAAAAUAAUUAUCUAUCUCCUACUCGAU
RNAcentral lists this unclassified non-coding RNA (77 nucleotides) under Geosporobacter subterraneus DSM 17957. The record is from RNAcentral. Lineage: Bacteria; Bacillati; Bacillota; Clostridia; Peptostreptococcales; Thermotaleaceae.